UACGAAGGGUGCAAACGUUGCUCGGAAUUAUUGGGCGUAAAGCGCACGUAGGCGGCUUAGCAAGUCGGAUGUGAAAUCCCUCGGCUCAACCAAGGAAGUGCAUCCGAAACUGCUGAGCUUGAGUACUUAAGAGGAUCGCGGAAUUCCCGGUGUAGAGGUGAAAUGUGUUGAUAUUGGAAGGAACGCCGGUGGCGAAAGCGACACACUGGACCUUGUCUGACGCUGAGGCACGAAAGCCAGGGGAGCAAACGGG
This 253-nucleotide ribosomal RNA is filed under the name uncultured bacterium. RNAcentral describes it as "partial 16S ribosomal RNA". It matches the Rfam family "Bacterial small subunit ribosomal RNA", at positions 524 to 776 of the family's 1533-position model. The record is from RNAcentral.